GAUGAAGAACGCAGUGAAAUGCGAUAAGUAAUGUGAAUUGCAGAAUUCAGUGAAUCAUCGAAUCUUUGAACGCACAUUGCGCCCGCCAGUAUUCUGGCGGGCAUGCCUGUUCGAGCGUCAUUUCAACCCUCAGGACCCUUUGGACCUGGUGUUGGGGCUCGGCCGCUACCCCGCGGCCGUCCCCGAAAGAUAGUGGCGGUCUCGCUGUAGCGUCCUCUGCGUAGUAAUUACACCUCGCACUGGAACGCGGCGCGGCCACGCCGUUAAACACCCCACUUCUCAAGGUUGACCUCGGAUCAGGUAGGAAUACCCGCUGAACUUAAGCAUAUCAAUAAGCGGAGGA
RNAcentral lists this unclassified non-coding RNA (343 nucleotides) under soil metagenome. RNAcentral's name for it is "partial contains 5.8S ribosomal RNA, internal transcribed spacer 2, and large subunit ribosomal RNA". The stretch from base 1 to 120 matches the Rfam family "5.8S ribosomal RNA", at positions 35 to 154 of the family's 154-position model. The record is from RNAcentral.